This 429-nucleotide ribosomal RNA is filed under the name Fusobacteriota bacterium. Its description in RNAcentral is "Fusobacteria bacterium partial 16S ribosomal RNA". It matches the Rfam family "Bacterial small subunit ribosomal RNA", at positions 355 to 776 of the family's 1533-position model. Lineage: Bacteria; Fusobacteriati; Fusobacteriota. The record is from RNAcentral.
UGGGGAAUCUUCCGCUAUGGACGAAAGUCUGACGGAGCAACGCCGCGUGAGUGAAGACGGCCUUCGGGUUGUAAAGCUCUGUUAUUCGGGAAGAACGAUUCGUUUGUGAACAAUGAACGGAAGUGACGGUACCGAAAGAGAAAGCCACGGCUAACUACGUGCCAGCAGCCGCGGUAAUACGUAGGUGGCAAGCGUUGUCCGGAAUUAUUGGGCGUAAAGAGCGCGUAGGCGGUAUGGUAAGUCUGUCUUAGAAGUGCGGGGCUUAACCCCGUGAGGGGACAGAGACUGUCAUACUGGAGUCUCGGAGAGGAAAGCGGAAUUCCUAGUGUAGCGGUGAAAUGCGUAGAGAUUAGGAAGAACACCGGUGGCGAAGGCGGCUUUCUGGACGAGCACUGACGCUGAGGCGCGAAAGCGUGGGGAGCGAACAGG